UCUUUAUUUAAGAACUACAAUUCUAGAAAUUAGUAUACUAACGUUUACUGACCCGAUAAUCGAUCAACGGACCAAGUUACCCUGGGGAUAACAGCGCAAUCUACUUCAAGAGCUCAUAUCGACAAGUAGGCUUACGACCUCGAUGUUGGAUCAGGGUAUCCCGGUGGUGCAGCCGCUACCGAAGGUUCGUUUGUUCAACGAUUAAAACCCUACGUGAUCUGAGUUCAG
Molecule: ribosomal RNA, 228 nt
Filed under: Polypedates megacephalus (Hong Kong whipping frog)
Lineage: Eukaryota; Metazoa; Chordata; Amphibia; Anura; Rhacophoridae
Description: partial 16S ribosomal RNA
Rfam family: Bacterial large subunit ribosomal RNA
Source: RNAcentral